AGCGAGCUUGCCUAGAUGAAUUUGGUGCUUGCACCAAAUGAAACUAGAUACAAGCGAGCGGCGGACGGGUGAGUAACACGUGGGUAACCUGCCCAAGAGACUGGGAUAACACCUGGAAACAGAUGCUAAUACCGGAUAACAACACUAGACGCAUGUCUAGAGUUUAAAAGAUGGUUCUGCUAUCACUCUUGGAUGGACCUGCGGUGCAUUAGCUAGUUGGUAAGGUAACGGCUUACCAAGGCAAUGAUGCAUAGCCGAGUUGAGAGACUGAUCGGCCACAUUGGGACUGAGACACGGCCCAAACUCCUACGGGAGGCAGCAGUAGGGAAUCUUCCACAAUGGACGCAAGUCUGAUGGAGCAACGCCGCGUGAGUGAAGAAGGGUUUCGGCUCGUAAAGCUCUGUUGGUAGUGAAGAAAGAUAGAGGUAGUAACUGGCCUUUAUUUGACGGUAAUUACUUAGAAAGUCACGGCUAACUACGUGCCAGCAGCCGCGGUAAUACGUAGGUGGCAAGCGUUGUCCGGAUUUAUUGGGCGUAAAGCGAGUGCGGGCGGUUCAAUAAGUCUGAUGUGAAAGCCUUCGGCUCAACCGGAGAAUUGCAUCAGAAACUGUUGAACUUGAGUGCAGAAGAGGAGAGUGGAACUCCAUGUGUAGCGGUGGAAUGCGUAGAUAUAUGGAAGAACACCAGUGGCGAAGGCGGCUCUCUGGUCUGCAACUGACGCUGAGGCUCGAAAGCAUGGGUAGCGAACAGG
RNAcentral lists this ribosomal RNA (751 nucleotides) under uncultured Bacilli bacterium. RNAcentral's name for it is "bacterial SSU rRNA". It matches the Rfam family "Bacterial small subunit ribosomal RNA", at positions 52 to 776 of the family's 1533-position model. Lineage: Bacteria; Bacillati; Bacillota; Bacilli. The record is from RNAcentral.